CAGCAGGGUCAAGGGAGACAGAUUCCUCCCACGGAGGGCCACUGCCUGCCUUGUCCUCAUCACGAGUGCUGGGGCACUCCCAGCCACGGGAUCUCCCCCUUCCCCUCACCUCUGCAGGAGUCAAGGGAGCCACGAUAGAGGCAGCACGCAUCCCGAGCAGCGAGAGCAGGCCCCACCACCUGCUUCCCCGGAACCGUGCUCAGCAUCUGUCUUCAGGCUGCCAGAGUUUUGAGCUGUGUCUAUGAGUUUUACCUCGAUUUAUUUUGUGUAUCCAUUAGCAAGAUGUGUCCUGUGGUAUCAGAAAAGUCUACGAGAGGUAAUUUGGGGGGUUUGGGAACGCUUACAAGUUUCUCCAUAUAAAUUAAUGGUAAUUGCUUCUUCGCUUGAUGUCGUUCUGGUUUCCGAAAGGUUUCAUAGGAACACUCGGCUUUCAGGUAGCAGGGUAAACCCGUCUAUGUGGGCCCACCAACAUGGAUCUAAUCGGUGGAGACAGCACAGUAACUAAAACACGCCAGGUGUCCGACACCAUGGAGCUUCCGUGGUCCUGAGCCCCUGACGGUAACCGGGCAGGCAGUAAGCAGACGGUAGUUUUCUCCCUUCCUCCCUAUCUUUCCAGAUGCCAAAGGUCAGUAUGAUGUCUAUAAACCACAAAAAGCAAACAGUAAUCUGUAUGUUGCUAAGCAUGUGAUUCACUGCUGAUACCAUUUCCCAGACUCUGAGAGGAUUUUGUCUUCGGUCUGUUGGUUUGUCUCUAUCGAGUUGCAUCUAGUUUUGGAACCCACUGAAGCUAUUUUACUGUUGGAUUAUUGAAAUUACUAAGCUAUUCAAGAAUUAAUUACCUGCGUAUCACUUCAACAUUAUUAAAGCUUACAGAUCAACAAUAGCUGCCAAGAUAGUGAAUUCUGUGUUCUGCUGGUAAGCAAUCCUCCACACCACAGCCAAUGGGUUUGUUUCGUUGCACAAAGAGUUGGCCCAUCCCAAGCAUCAGGACAUACCCUUUCUGCCUCAACAGACCACACCUGGCUUUAGCCAUAAAGCAGAUGUUUUCUUGGUACGAUCUUGGCAAAGCUGGAAUCAGCAGAUUCCAUGAAGCUCUUUGGCUUUCUCUCUCUGACUCAGCAUUGGGGAUUGCUGUAAACUUUCUGUCAGGUUUAAUCCUAUUUCCCCCAACUAAGCUCCAAUUGUAUUAUAGCUAUUCUUACUACCCUUUUUUACAUGCUAUGAUUUGUUUCACUGAUGAAAAGAACUCCCUUAGUUUUGAAAUCCACAUAUAAUAUACAUUACUUGUCAAAUUCUCUUACCUGUAUUAGGUAUCUUUGAGUAUAUAUUAUGCUUGAUUAUAUAUGUCAUACAAAGUCGACUCUCUAGACCUGAAAACUAUGAUUUAAAUAAUUGAAAGUAAAACCCGUGGAAUGCCUUAACCAUGGCCUUCUCUGAAAACUUUUACUUAGCACAUAGUUAGUAACUUUAUCUUUUACUUAAUUAUUAUAUAAUUGAUUUCUCUCAGUUUUCAGAAGCGUAUAUAUUUAGAGUUUCUUUGGCAGGGACAUAAGCCCACGGGUCACAGUGAAAUCUAUUACCAUAUGAAUGGACUCUCAUUUUUCCAUAUUAAAGUCCACUUAUACCAAGUUAUUAAUGCCCUUGCUUAUUUUCACUAACAUUUAUAUUUGCCUUUUAGGAGUGGCAUAGAAUUUUGAAUCAUAUUUAUAGAGCAAAUGGCUAUUUCAAUAUUUAUCCUUGGGACAAUCUUAAAAUAUGACCACUAUAUUGAUCUGUUUAUUUAAUAGACUUAUUCCCAAGUAAAGAAACAUCAUUGUUAUCAGUGUUAUUUUGCAAACAUGAUCUGUAAUUAUAUUUUGUAUUUUUCAACAGGAAUUACAUUCUAAGUAUUGGUGACAAAGAAAACUAUUAAUGUCAAAAACCCCAGCUAUGUUAUCAUUCAACCACUUUUGAAUGAUCAAAAAAAUUUAUAAUCUGAAUUUUAAAAUUCACACCCAUGUCCCAUUUUCUCCACUUAUAUGUUCACUCACUCAUUCAUUCAUUCAAUAAACAUGUAUUGUGUACCCACCUUGUAACAGGCACUGUGCUAAAUGCUGAGCUUGCAGAGAAGAAUGAGAUAUGGUCUUUGUCCUCAAGAGAUUUACUUCACGAGUUUGGAAGUAAGAGCAGCCCCUUCACUUAAAGUCACAGCCCUAGACUUUACGGGUGGAAGAAAAGUGUACCAGAGGCAACAGAACAAGCAUCACAGCAGGUGGAAGAGUGUAAUUUUAGCAACACUGGCUGUGUCGUCCACGAUGACCGCAACAAUUCCUGCUGUCAUAUCUAGACAUUACAACAUGCAGAGAAAGAAAAGGGCCUCUCUUCCGGAGUCUUCUUAGGACAGAAAUAUCUUUCCCAGAACUCUUCCUCCGGCCUAUUGGCCAGAACUGAGUCACAAGCCCAUUCCUGAACCAACCUUGGCAAGAAGAGGGGAACGGUCACUUUGGACUUAGACUAAUUGUCAAUCAUGAGCAAUAAACAUAUAGGAACUGAGCAAAACAAUGAGACUUUCUAAACAUUAUCUCUUCAAAGAGAUACGCAUAAAUCAGAAAACUCAAUAUUGUUACAUUGUCAGUUCCCUCCAAAUUGAUCUUGACAUUCAAUGCAAAACCCUAGGAGGCUUUUUAAAAAAAAAAAAAAGAAAGAAAGAAAUUAACAAGCUGAUUCUAAAAUUUGUACAUAAAAACAAAGGACCUAGAAUACAUAAAACAACUUGGAAAAAGAAGAACAAAGUUGGAGGAAUAACACAACCGAAUUUUAAGAUUUACCAUAAGAGCUGCAAUAACUAAGACACUGUGAUAUUGGUAUAUGGAGAGACCUAUACCAAUGAUAGUGUCUGGAAAAAGAUGUCAUGGUAAAUCAACAGUCAAUGGGGAAUAUUUUCAACAAAUAGUGCUAAAACAAUUAUAUUUUUUUCAUUUAUAUUUAUAUAUUUUUAAAGAUGAACCUUGAUGUGUACUUUGAAUCAUAUACAAAAUUCAACUUGAAUGGAUCAUAGACCCGAAUGUAAAACCAACAACUAUACAGCUUUUAGGGAAAAAAAAAAACAAAAUAGGAGAAAAAUCUUUACAACCUCAGGUCAGGCAAAU
Long non-coding RNA from Acinonyx jubatus (cheetah), 3128 nucleotides. RefSeq lists it as uncharacterized. The record is from RefSeq and is a predicted model, not a curated record. NCBI's taxonomy places the organism in Eukaryota, Metazoa, Chordata, Mammalia, Carnivora, Felidae. The transcript has 4 exons.